ACUCCUGCGGGAGGCAGCAGUGGGGAAUAUUGGACAAUGGGCGCAAGCCUGAUCCAGCCAUGCCGCGUGAGUGAUGAAGGCCCUAGGGUUGUAAAGCUCUUUCACCGGUGAAGAUAAUGACGGUAACCGGAGAAGAAGCCCCGGCUAACUUCGUGCCAGCAGCCGCGGUAAUACGAAGGGGGCUAGCGUUGUUCGGAUUUACUGGGCGUAAAGCGCACGUAGGCGGACUAUUAAGUCAGGGGUGAAAUCCCGGGGCUCAACCCCGGAACUGCCUUUGAUACUGGUAGUCUUGAGUUCGAGAGAGGUGAGUGGAAUUCCGAGUGUAGAGGUGAAAUUCGUAGAUAUUCGGAGGAACACCAGUGGCGAAGGCGGCUCACUGGCUCGAUACUGACGCUGAGGUGCGAAAGCGUGGGGAGCAAACAGGAUUAGAUACCCCGGUAGUCCCAUGAU
This 450-nucleotide ribosomal RNA is filed under the name uncultured organism. RNAcentral describes it as "partial 16S ribosomal RNA". It matches the Rfam family "Bacterial small subunit ribosomal RNA", at positions 335 to 801 of the family's 1533-position model. The record is from RNAcentral.